RNAcentral lists this ribosomal RNA (309 nucleotides) under uncultured Glomus. Its description in RNAcentral is "partial 18S ribosomal RNA". Lineage: Eukaryota; Fungi; Glomeromycota; Glomeromycetes; Glomerales; Glomeraceae. The record is from RNAcentral.
CGUAAGGCGCCGAAUGAGUCAUUAAAAAAUUAACAUCAUCCGAUCCCUAGUCGGCAUAGUUUAUGGUUAAGACUACGACGGUAUCUGAUCGUCUUCGAUCCCCUAACUUUCGUUCUUGAUUAAUGAAAACAUCCUUGGCAAAAUGCUUUUCGCAGUAGUUAGUCUUCAAUAAAUCCAAGAAUUUCACCUCUGACAAUUGAAUACUAAUGCCCCCAACUAUCCCUAUUAAUCAUUACGUCAAUCCUAAGAAACCAACAAAUAGGAUCGAACGUCCUAUUUCAUUAUUCCAUGCUAAUGUAUUCAAGCGUU